GAUGAAGAACGUAGCGAAAUGCGAUAAGUAAUGUGAAUUGCAGAAUUCAGUGAAUCAUCGAAUCUUUGAACGCAUCUUGCGCUCCUUGGUAUUCUGAGGAGCAUGCCUGUUUGAGUGUCAUUAAAUUCUCAACCGCACUGACUUUGAAUUGGUGUGGCUUGGAUUUGGGGGCAAAAUUGUUGUGGGCUUUUUUGUAUAGUCUGCUCCCCUGAAAUUGAUUAGCGGUACCUUUGUGGAACUGUCUACAGGUGUGAUAAUUAUCUACAUCCUAGACAUCUGCUGGAAUGCUGCUUUCUAAACCUUACUUGUAUUGACAAUCUUGACCUCAAAUCAGGUAGGACUACCCGCUGAACUUAAGCAUAUCAAUAAGCGGAGGA
Molecule: unclassified non-coding RNA, 377 nt
Filed under: soil metagenome
Description: partial contains 5.8S ribosomal RNA, internal transcribed spacer 2, and large subunit ribosomal RNA
Rfam family: 5.8S ribosomal RNA (bases 1-120)
Source: RNAcentral